Molecule: ribosomal RNA, 392 nt
Filed under: uncultured bacterium
Lineage: Bacteria
Description: bacterial SSU rRNA
Rfam family: Bacterial small subunit ribosomal RNA
Source: RNAcentral
GACGAACGCUGGCGGCGUGCUUAACACAUGCAAGUCGAGCGGUAAGGCCCUUUCGGGGGUACGACGAGCGGCGAACGGGUGAGUAACACGUGGGUGACCUGCCCUCAGCUCCGGGAUAAGCCUGGGAAACCGGGUCUAAUACUGGAUAUGACUCCAUGACGCAUGUUGUGGGGUGGAAAGCCUUGUGCGGCUGAGGAUGGGCCCGCGGCCUAUCAGCUUGUUGGUGGGGUGAUGGCCUACCAAGGCGACGACGGGUAGCCGGCCUGAGAGGGCGACCGGCCACACUGGGGACUGAGACACGGCCCAGACUCCUACGGGAGGCAGCAGUGGGGAAUCUUGCGCAAUGGGCGAAAGCCUGACGCAGCGACGCCGCGUGAGGGAUGACGGCCUGG